RNAcentral lists this ribosomal RNA (253 nucleotides) under uncultured bacterium. Its description in RNAcentral is "partial 16S ribosomal RNA". It matches the Rfam family "Bacterial small subunit ribosomal RNA", at positions 524 to 776 of the family's 1533-position model. The record is from RNAcentral.
GACAGAGGGUGCAAACGUUGUUCGGAAUUACUGGGCGUAAAGCGCGUGUAGGCUGCUUCGCAAGUCGGGUGUGAAAGCCCUGGGCUCAACCUAGGAAGUGCACUCGAAACUGCGAAGCUUGAGUCCUGGAGAGGAAGGCGGAAUUCUCGGUGUAGAGGUGAAAUUCGUAGAUAUCGAGAGGAACACCGGUGGCGAAGGCGGCUCACUGGCCCGAUACUGACGCUGAGGCACGAAAGCGUGGGGAGCAAACAGG